CGUAGGGUGCGAGCGUUAAUCGGAAUUACUGGGCGUAAAGCGUGCGCAGGCGGUUUUGUAAGCCAGAUGUGAAAUCCCCGGGCUUAACCUGGGAAUGGCAUUUGGGACUGCAAGGCUUGAGUGCGGCAGAGGAGACUGGAAUUCCUGGUGUAGCAGUGAAAUGCGUAGAUAUCAGGAGGAAUACCGAUGGCGAAGGCAGGUCUCUGGGCUGACACUGACGCUCAUGCACGAAAGCGUGGGGAGCAAACAGGAUUAGAUACCCUGGUAGUCCACGCCCUAAACGAUGUCGACUGGUUGUUGGGGGUUUGACACUCUCAGUAACGAAGCUAACGCGUGAAGUCGACCGCCUGGGGAGUACGGCCGCAAGGUUA
RNAcentral lists this ribosomal RNA (371 nucleotides) under uncultured organism. RNAcentral describes it as "bacterial SSU rRNA". It matches the Rfam family "Bacterial small subunit ribosomal RNA", at positions 526 to 896 of the family's 1533-position model. The record is from RNAcentral.